Pelobates cultripes (western spadefoot toad) is the source of this 26194-nucleotide non-coding RNA. Lineage: Eukaryota; Metazoa; Chordata; Amphibia; Anura; Pelobatidae. The record is from the annotation of a GenBank genome assembly.
UCUACUUCUUAUGACAUCAUACGUUUUGUCCUACAAAUCUGGCAAACAAGUGAGGAGCUCAGCGCUGUUCUCUGCACACAGUUUCUGAGCACACAGGACUGAAAACAACAAAAGGGAGGAAUGGAGCUGAAAUGUUCUUCUGCUGUGUUCGUCUUUAUCGCAACAGGUACCUCUGAGAGAGCAUUGUUAGGGAAACAGAUUCUUCUGUAUUUUGAAGUCUAUCUGGGAAGAAUGAGAAAAUGAUGUGUAGGUCCAUGUAUUCUGUUUUGUUACGUUUAAUUUCUUUGAGGAAGAACAUGAUUAUUUAGGGUUAUUUACUAAAAUUAAUUUCACAUUUAUGGCCAGAGAAGCAGAACUGAAAGUAUAGCUGAUUUAGAGAAUUUUUCUAGUUCAGCUAUUUUGGACUUUAAUUUUUCAUUUCAUCCUAAAUUCUCACUUUAGUGAAAAACCUUCUUAAUCUUUAAUAAUAUGUGUGGUUUCUAUAUAGUAGGUGAUCAAAUCAUUGUACCCUCUGUUCUAGAACAGUUUGUUAAAUUACACUGGGAGGGUGUAUGAGUCAAUAUUAUUAGGACAUUUAUUCAUGACAAAUUAUGAACUGUUAUUGCUUAAUUUAUAAGUAUAUUGUAGGUCAAUAAUUUAUUUAAUUAUUUUUGGAUCAAUGAGUAUAUAUUGGUAUAUGUGAAUGUUAAGUGGUCAUGCUAAGCACCAUAAAAACGUUUGUAAUGGUUAUGGUGCUAUAAGUCUUUUGUCUCCUUCCCCCUUGUUUUUUUUUUAUUUCUUUGCAAAUUGUUUGCCAAAACUGUUUUCCUUGGCAUCAACAGCCUGCCCCUUCUGCAGAUGCCGAGGUAAUGCAGGUAAUACACUGUCACAUAAUCAAAUGUGAUUCAAGCCAAUCCCUUCAGCAAUGAGCCUGAAAUCUCAAGCAGUAGGUUAGCCUAUCUUUGAAUGAGGAUUUCUGAAUUUUGGUAAUGUAAUUAGCCAAAUUUACAGCUAAUUCAGGCUUUGCUACACGAUGGAUAAACUUUCCAAAUUACUUAGUGUGUAUGUAUGUAUGUAUGUAUAUAUUUAUAUAAUAUAAGCAGGUGCAUGUAUUAAUUUGUAAUAGAUCCUUGUUCUAUAGGGUUUCUUGGCUGUCAACAUCUAGUAGCAACCAGUUUUUAACCAAUUACCGGGGGUCUGAGCUAGUAGCACUGAAUAUCAAGCCUAGUUUAGCAAGCAUAUAUAAAUGGAAAUGUCUUGUUUUGUCUGAUCCGUUUGCCAUUUUUGUUUAACUAUAGUCUAUAUGGCAUUUCUCUUCAUAUUAACUAAGAUCUCUGGUUUCAUUUAUAGUUGCCUUAUCCCUCUCAAAUGUUAACGAAGGACAAAAUGUAAGUAUUUCUGAAUUUCUCCAAAGAACUCAUGGUGAAAAAAGCAGUUUGUAAUUUUAGGAGCUACCUGAACCAUACAAAGCAAAUAUGUGUAACCUCCUUCAAGCUUGGUGCCUGAAGCCCUAAACAGACCCAUUAAAUUCUUCCCAGGUCUUGAUGAAAAGUACUAAGACUCCAUAAAACAGUUCCAAGAUAUGGAAACAUUUCUUUUUUUUUUCUUUUUCAAUUUGACAGUUUUUAUUGUUUUUGGAUACAGAAAGGCACCAGAGAAAGAAAGGGGGUUACACAUCCAUCAAUCACAUCAAGGUAUACUAGGUCCUCUUGUUACAUGUCACAAGGUCAUUAUCCAAUAGGCCUAUAAUACAAAGUAAACAGUUCUUUGAUACAUAACUUGAUGAGGUACAUAUCUCUAUGAUGUGGUUCAUUAAAUCACGUAAUAUCUGUCCUCGUCGUCUUUUUGCAGACUGGGUUUGUUAUGUUUUGUGUGGAGAGCCUAAAUGCCUUGUGUGGCUUUCUGAGCAUUUUAACGGCAAGGGCUCUGCAUUUCCGCUAUUGUGGGGUUUUUUGUGGUAUCUCUGCUGUGUGGUCUGAGACCGUGUACAAGUAGAACUAUUUACAGGUUAUGGCUGGUGGACGACUAUGGGAUGACCGUUAGGGAUCAUGAUUUUUGUACCUUUUUUAGAGUGUAUGUACGCUAGCCUCUGGUUGGCUUGCUUAAUUUUAAUACGUGAUGUCAGCAACUUGCUAGCCCUAUUCCCGUGUGUGUAAUACUUAAGCUUUUACUUAAGCUUUAGUCGUUUGAGGUGAUAUGCCGUAUGUUCUAAGGCUUGGCAGUGUAUAAGCUGUGUAAGUUGGGAGAUUCUGGUUUUUAGUUCCUGGGAUGGUGCAUUUUGGUUCUGAAUGUUAAUACGGUACAAUUCAGGUUGCCAGUGAUUGAGUGAUUUGCGAACCUUCUUCCGUAGGAAGGAUGCUCGUCUUAUAAGUUCACCCCUAAUUACAGCUCUGUGCACCACCCAGACUGUGCUUGGAGACAUUCCCGGUGUACUGUUAUCUGUAAAGUAGAUAGUGAGUUUAGUCUGUAAUUCUUGUACAAAAGUGGACUUUCUCAAUAAGGUCUCUAUGAGCCUCAAACGGGCUGUUAUGUUGGUACUCAAAUUGAUCCUUUAGCUCUAGAGUGACCGGGGCAUGGUCAGACCAAGUAAUGUUGUCGAUUUCACAUCGUAUAACUAGGGAGAGUACAGAGCCAUGUAUGAAGAAGCCAUCAAUGCGGGAGUACGAAUUAUGUACUGGAGAAUAGUGUGUAUUGGAACGUUCUUGAGUGUGAGUGACACGCCAUGCGUCAUAAUAGUGUUGUUUAUGUAGGAACUUUUUCAGUUGCUGGCAUCCUCUUUUACUAAACGGGGAUAUGGAAACAUUUCUAACGCUCUAAGAAUAAGUUUAUUAAUGUUUGAAAACCAUCCCACACUUACUUUUUAAGAUUAUUCCAACCUAGUUACCCUAUUCCAACCUAGUUCACCCAGUUUCUGAAGCAGACCAGCUUCAACCAAACUCUUGAUCACCUAUACAUGCCUCUGAAGAUCUUCUAGUUUAGACUUACUCAAAAUUGAGCUGCCUAUUCUGUAAUGUCAACAGUUCCAUUAAAGUAAAAGAUUUAAUUUACCUGAAGGCAUUCCAACUUUAUAUGUAUACUUACAAACUCAUCCAAGAAUACUCAAGCCACAUAAAAAUACACACCUGCUUUCAAUGCUCUGUACAAAUCCUAAAUCCAUGGAAUAGCAACUGAUUGACUUUAAAGGAUUAUAAAAUUCCAAGUUCUGCGAUAGUAGCCAGGCCUUAAGAGUUACUCACAUCUGCAAGCCUGGAGGGUCCAUGGCAUACUCACCAGGGCUGAUUCUUUUCCUCUGUCAUUUAUAUUUUUAUAGUAGCACAUGAAAGAUCAUACAAUCAGUUAGAUGCACAUUUUGUUACAUUUUAUGUGCAGCAAAUAAGAGCAGAGGACAGUGAUAGCUGAUGUACACCAUAAAGUAAAACAAACUAGUGUGACUGUCCUGUAAAAUAUUAUCAGAUGUAUAAUGCACAAUUUUAUGUGCAUUUUAUAUAUAUGUAUAGGAGACUGAAUAUGCUGAAACAAUCAUUUGCCAAUGGGAGGGUGUGAGUCCUGAGAAAGUUUGUCAUUUGUACGGUCAUAAAAGAAACUAUAGUCAUAUUCAUAGUUAGCUAAAAUAAUAAUAAGUCAAGAUAAGAAAAAUCAUAGCAAAACUGUAUAACGAAAGAAUCAUGGAAGUGGACACUCGCCAUUCUGCUAUCAGGCCUCUGGUGCCAGUCGAAUUCAGCGGGUAAAAAAGCUCCAUGUCGUGCAUGUCCCAUAGAUGAGCUGAGGAUGUAGGACUUGACCCGAUGUAGGCCUCGCUGAGAUGUUUGGUAAGCGUAAACCCAGUGCCGCUAGAAACUUCUCCAUGUCUGACAGAUGAAAAAGUUACAUUUGCUUCUCUUUAUGUGGCGCCAACAGUUUGCAGCCUGGGCCCCACUAAUAUUGGGUGUCAUGAGCGUCUGUGUCACAGGUUUCAAAGAUUAUCACCAAAGUAUGGUGGACCUAGAUAGGUCAUUAAAGAAGGAGAGUUCAGAACCCUCAAAAUGGUCCAUAAGCGAUUCACGAGUAGCAGCCUGUACAAGUUGCUUGUGUGAUAUCAGAAGCAAAAGGACCUUUAGCUCUUUCAGUAGAUGUUGGAUGUCUGCUCUGGAUGUCUGCUCCGGAGUUAGAUUUGUGCUUACUUAUAUAUCACUUUGCCCAAAUGAUUCAUAUGGAUCGCUCUCUUCAGAUGUAAUGUAUAGUUGGAGACCUCUCACACGAGCACCAUCUUGGCAGGCCGCUGCUGCGGAGUUACUCCGAGCAAGUUGCCAAUAUCUUUAGAAGAGCUAGCUGCUUCACUCUGGUAUGGCUUUGUCUUUCCUCCCAUGGUUCCUCCCAUUGUAUCUGAAACAACUUUAGAAAGUUGAUAUUUUGUUUUUGAGGCGAAAUUUAUGCAUAUGUUUGUAGAUUCUCUGAAUGUACCUUUCCUGGUUAAAGACUUUGUUAUUAUUAAUCUUGCCUACAUUUAGGAAGCCUGGGAUGGAUGCCCUAUGACUGGCAUAGUCCCAUUUGAUAAUGUUGGUAUGCUGGCUUCAUUGCCAGCACACUGGCAAUUGAACAGAGUGACGUCAGACGCCACUGUGUUCUUAUUUGAUGUCUAGUGCGGGCUUGUUGGUUGAUGAGCUUUCCUGCACAAUAAAUGCAACAAACUUGUAAUAUGAGCUAUAUUACCAGUUAUACAGAGGGAUACUAGAGAAAUGCAAAAUGUAAACGUAACACAUGGUUACUACAUUUGAAGACCGCAAGAAAACAGGCUCUAUGCUAAAAUAGACAUUGGCACAAACUCUGUGCCAAUAGUCUGAGUGAGGUGCGUGCCAUUUUUUUCUAUAAUCUAAUUAUUAUUUGUUUGUUUUUCCCCCUAAUUAUUAUUAUUAUUGGUAUUUAUAUAGCGCCAAGUAAUUCUGCAGCGCUUAUACUAAGCUAUACAAUGCACAAUGUAUAAAUAUAUUUACAUGAGGAAUAAAAGUAAAUUAAGUAAUAUUCACCAUGACAAAUUCCCUUUAAAUGUUGAUAAUUCAGAGUGAACUUCCAAUUAUAUGGUACAAGAGCUAAAUUAAAAAAAAAAAUAGACAAAAUUCCCAGUUAGCUAUAUUUUCAGUUCAAUCUCAGUCGGCCUGUUUUUUUUAAAAUCACUCUGAAUUCCUAGCAGUUCACUGCAGAGUUGAUAUACUAAACUUUGAAUUUUAGGGAAUAAAAAUCCUAAUGGCAAUAUUGAGGCAAAAUAGCCAAGCUAUGUAUACAGAAUAGAGUGGGAGAAUUUGCAUAUGGUUCCAGAAAAGUAAACAAGUGGGGAAAACUGUGUGCGUGUGCAUUUUCUGAAAAUUCUGCUAAUUUAUCUAUAAAACAUUUAUAAAGGUUAACUUAAAUUGGAACAGAUCCUAUUGUAAGAGAUCAAAAGGAACAGUAAAUCCAGAUCCUUUUACUGCCCUUUCUCAGUCCUUGUUCAUUAACCUUUUUUUUUUUUUUUUGUUGCAGAAUGUUGGCUUCCAUUUCUUUCCUACAGCCAGAGAGUACUGUAAUCCAAUAGUGUUCUUACCAAUAACAACCAUGGAUCUAUUGUUAAAUAGCCAACUGAAGGCAGCACCUGAUUUGAACUCUAUUCAUUUGCAAUCUUGCAUCCAACUUGCGUUCCCCAAUGACAUUUAAGCCUGAGAUCUCUACUUGGAAACAAGUAUUUAGAGCAGGCGUACUCUUCUGUAAUUCAUCUGAUUUUUAACAGAAUAUUACAGUUAUGAAAUAAAUUAUAGAAAAGGGAAUAAUUAUUUCUUUAACACCUUAAGAACCAAGGCUUGUUUUAGAUGCAACUCUAGAUGUAAACAAGGCCUUUUUGGCGUCUUGCCAUGCAUUCAUUCACACAGCCACAAUAUCCCUCUUUCUUUUUAAGUGCACCCAUACAUAUUAUAAAUCAUUUUUAAAGGAGAAAUAGGGCUUUUUUUUUUUAAAUACCCAAUAUGUAUACAUAAGCAAUAUUAUCUAGGUAGAAAAUAUUUUAAAAUGGAAACUUUUAUUUUUUUAAAUUAACACUUGCACACGAAGUGCAGGUAAAGAAAACUAACUCAAAAUAGAUUCACCAAUUAGUUCUGUUUGUUAUCAUGCCCAAUAUGUCUUGGAUUUUAAUUUCUAAAUUCUAAAACAAAUAAUGAAUUGCAGUUUCUUUUAACUAAAACUGCAAAAUGUUGCAUGCUGAGAUUACAAUUUAAGUAGCAGCCCUGGAAUCCAAAACCGCUACACAAAAGUAUAUAUUUGUAGAAAGUACAUACCACAGGAUAUGUAAUUAUAAGCAUUUUAACACUCAUUUAACCACUUUAUCACAAACCUAGGUUAAAUACAUUUUUUUGAACAUUUUUCCCACAAGUUUAUUUUUUGGAGAAUUUACAGACCACGAGUGUCCCACUACUGCAAACAACACAUUUAUAUUGUGCUACUGUUCUUGAGCACAGUGAACCCCACAUGUAUACCUUUUUCCCUAAUCCAACCUAUAAUCUAACCCUUUUUCCUACCCAUAAUCCAACCCUAUUCCUAUUUAUUUAUUACUAUUUAUUCCUAUUUAUAAUCCAACGCUGAUACCACUCCUAAAUCCACCCUCUAAUCCCACCUCUCUAGGGAUUCCCUCUGUUGAUGUCAGUAUUGAUAUCAGCAGAGGGAUUUCCUAGUUCACACAGUACAGAGGGCUCAGUGACCCAACUGAGGCGCUUGCUGGAGUUUCACAGAGUUUGACUCCGUGAAAUGAUGCUGGACGUCCUCACGCUCUGCAUGACGACAUCCAGCAUCAGAGAUUCAUUGAAGCAGUGAUUUUUUAUGGGGAAGGCCUAAUGCGCAUGUGGCACUCACCGUGAAUGUGCAUUAGGUCCCCCCCCAACCGCAUGACGUCUAAGGAGGAGUACUGUGACCCAGUGUCACAACCUCUGUGCUGGAAUCAGGUAAAUUAAUAAAUGGUUAUUUAACCCUUUACAUCACUGGGAGGGGGCUGCAGGACCAGAGGAACAUCUUUGCAUUACUAACACUAAAGUGUUCCUUUGAACAUGACAGUAGUGAAAUGUGCUGCAGCUAUAUUAUGAUAAUAACUGGAGACAUCUUUGCUAAGAGAAAAAAAAAAUUCCUUUACUAUUGAUUUAAAGGCUGCCGUUAUGAAGAUGUAGCAUGGGACAUUGAUAGGGAUUCAAUUUGUAAAAUAUAUUUGUGUACAGGUCCAUACAUCUCUCAUUCCUCCAUUGCUGGUACUGAAGUAAUCAUUGCCAUAAAGAAUAAGCUUUUCAGUCAAACUGGAUCCAAAACAGAAACUGGUUGAGAUCAGAAGAGGAAAUGACAGACUAGCAGUCUAUGAGCUACUAGUCUCUAGAAAUACACAGAGAUAUAUACAUAUAUUUAGAAUUUCAUAAAAUUGUUUAUACAUGUGCAAGGUAGUGAGAAACAAACAAUAAAAGAGGUGACUGUUUUAGCACAGAGAGUCCCUCUAAGAUAAUAUUGGAAUGUAAAUCUACACGUUUGUCAUUUAUGGUUCCUAAAUACAAAGUUCCAAAGAAAUGAUCACUAGGAAACAAGAAAUACAAUGGUAUCAAUGAGCUGUAGAUUAGGUUAAAGCAGGCUUCACCAAACUCCAGCCCUCCAGAUGUUGCUGAACUACAACUCCCAUGAUUCUCAGCCUAUCUAUUUCAUUCAUUGAAUCAUGGGAGUUGUAGUUCAGCAACAUCUAGAGGGCUGGAGUUUGGGGAAGCCUGGGUUAGAGCACCAACAAGUGGGCCUGUGUAUUCAUAAAACUGCUUUGGAUGUGAAAAAAAUGUUGCAUGUUCAAAAAUUAUGGUUAGUGCGUUAAAAAAACAGUAGAUGAAACAUCUGACAGAUUUAAUUAAUUGCACCAAAAUUCCAUUGAAAAUUAGGCAGAAAAGUGUCAGUGACACUUUGAUAAUUACCCCCCUUUGAUUUAUUAACAACAUGCUGGUGUCCAAACUAAGUGACUAAAAUAAGCAUAAGUUGUGUGUACCAUAACACAUGCACUUUAAGGUAAUGGUGUUUACUGAAAUAUUGGAUAUCUUCUUGCACGUUUGCCAGUCUAGAAUUUGAAGUAUUAGUUCACCAUAAUUUUGCUGAAAUUUGUGCCUUUGUAUAUUUUAAUUUGCUAAAUAAAGUUUAUAUUGUUUUCAUGUUUGGUGUGCAUGUCACUUAUUAGUAAAAGGUUACUCCAAUCGUCAUUGCCAUUUCAAAGGCAAAGGGACAAUAUAGUGUACAAUUUAGUAUUCCUAACACUAUAGUGUUCCUUUAAGUUGGAUAUUUGUGCAUGCUGGGAUAUACAGUGAUUUUGCACCUAGGAAGUUAGAAGUUGAAAAUUGUUGCAACUGAAGAUUUAUAUUUGUGUGCUAUGGAAUCUUGAUAAAUUCUUAGUAAAUUCUGAUUCAAAGCUAUUCACUAAAGUCAGAAUUGAUGUGAAGUCAAGUUUUAAGUCAAUUUCAAAUUUAAGUCCAGACUAGCUAAACAGAAUUGACAUGGAUAUUUUUAUCUAAUUUGGCUAUUUUAGAUUAAGUUUUGAAAUUCACUUUGAAAUUCUCUCUUUACCCCUAACAUUAAUCAUACAUUAUCCCUGGCAUUAAAACAGCAUUAACCCUUAAUCCCUUACCCUACACUUACCAUACCAUAGCACUAAUCCUACCCACAUUUCAGAGGAAUUCCCUGCUCUAUCUCAGUAGUUGGCUGUUUGCAACAAGAGGAGAUCUCCCCCUCAUGCUGCAAAUGUCCCAACAUCCUUAAGUGGUUAAACUCCAGUUUAAAGUCGAAUUACACUGGAUUAUUGAGUAUAUUACCUUUCAGUUGCUCUACUUUCUUCAAAACAUAUAAUACAGUCAUACAUGUUAUUAUGAGCUAUAUCAAAAAUUCAAUUAAAAAGGGAGUAUAGGACGCACAAGAUACUUACACACUAGGCAUUAGGGGAGACAAUAGAAAGGAAGACCAAGCCAGAGAGUGGGAAGCUAACCCCUAGAAUAGACAAAAAAGGAAGUGUAAGCAAACUGAAAGAGGUCGCAGCCCGAAGGCCUCACUGCCCCACUGAACAUUUAAAGAGUUGAGACAUUUUUGUCCACAUGAGACUCUUAAACAAUUGGCGCUCUCCCCACAAAUGUCCUCUAGUAAUCAAGGUUUCAAAUGAUAUAUCCAUAACGUUUUUGGGUGUGUGGAGCUCUCCUCAAUGACACACUACUACAAACUAAUAUAGUGAAUCUACAACGACAUGUUCCUUUAUCUAAUGAUUAACAUUGGACCAGUAUGUUUCCUGUAUAUUAUGAGAAUUCUGUAUUAACCAAAGCAAUGCUUCAAAUCUGUUUGUAAAGUAUUUUUUCACUCUCAAUAAAAACUUUCAAUUAGUGAAAAUUCACUACUGUUGAGUCUGCCAUGGACCCUCCAGGCUUGUAGUGUAAAUUAACCUAUUGGUCUCUUUAGCAUCACAAAACUUGACACUUUGAUCCCUGAUUAUAUAUCAUAUUUUAUUAAAUUAUGUAUUAUAUAUAUUGGAUGCCAUAAUAUAAACCAUAAAUGAACACAAAAAAACACGUAAAAACCAGGACCAUGAGUCACGUUUUAUUAUUUUGGUCUUGUCAUCCCAGGGCUAGUAUCACUGGGUUUUAAUGAUUAUAUACUCACCUAAUUUUGAUAAAUGAAUGUAAAGCUGCUUCCCGCUAAUUUUACCCUGAUAUUCCGUGCACUUAGAAUCAUGAAUCAUCUUGUGUUCCACUAUCUUGGUUCCAAACUGUGUAUUUAAUACUCUGAUGCAGUAUCCAAAAUGAAGACUAUCAAAGAAAAAAAAAAAAAAUAGGACACAGAGCAAACAAUAAAAAAAAAAACCAAAUAUAAUGUGAAUCAGAGUUUAGAAGAGUUAGUUGGAGAUGCAGUACUUUCCACUCUUCAUUUCUAAAAUGUAUUAAUCUGUCCAUUACCAUCUUCCCAAUUGCUUUAUAUUGGCAGUGUCACAGCACUUUUAUUUCUCUACAAAUGUUUGCUUCUGGCUGCUGACCCAUCUGUUAGUAUUUAUCUAAUAUAACUUUUCCGACUUUAUGGGGGUUGUUGAAUCAUUCUGGAGCAAUCAGCAAGAAUGUUCCUUUGGUUUCCUUAGUGAAUACCCCAGUUUUAGAUCUUUGCCACAAAAUUAUUCUUUAAACAUAAUCCUCAAAACCUUAAUGAACUGCUCAAUAAAAAUAGAAUUAACAAAAAAUCCAUUGUGAGAUCAGUUGGUAAUUAAUUACAUGUGUGCUAAUACUUUUGCAGUUAUAGACAGAAUUGAUUUAGUAGUCUUCAUCCAGCAGGUGGCGAAAAAGAGCUUUCUAUAUUAAGCUGAUGUUUAUUUACUAUUUGUAAAUUUGUCUGCGUGGACAACAAUUCAUACAGUAUGGCGUUUACUCAAUAAACACUAACUUAUAGUGAACUCAAAUAUUUUAAAAAAAAAUUUGAUUAAAACAAAAAAAUUAGGCUUACAUAGCCAAGCUAAAGCUGAGUUGGAGUUGUUUUUUUGCCUAAAUUUUGCAAUUCAGUUAUCAAUUCACUACAUUUCUGUGUUUAUUGUGAUAACUACUGAGUUAUUGGUUUUUUGUUUUUAUUUUUUUUACCAAAGUGUUCCUGAAUAUAAAGGUUUAAGUAGCUGUUUAGGAUCCUGGUACCUCCUACCCCCUUAUAAAAAAUAAAAAAAAAGUUGAUUUACAAACUUGAUGAUCUCCCAUAGGGGAGGCUAUUGCUCAUGCAUCUCUAUGAGGAGCUUUCAGCAUCCUCAUGCAGAGUGUGGACUUGAGUGUGGACCCAGGAAGCACCUCUACUGGCCGUUUUAAUGACUGUCACCGGAGGUGUACCUAGACAGUAAUGUAAACACUGCCUUUUCUCUGAAAAUACAGUGUCUAAUUUAAAAAGCCUGCAUGGAAAGACAGUAGACACCAGAACAACUACAUUAAGCUGUAGUUCUUCUGGUGACUAUAGUGUCCCUUUAAGUUGGCACUGUCACAAAUUAUCUAAUGAUUAUUAUAUUGUGUUGUUUGGGGGUAUAUACUUCAAGUGGUUGUAUUAUUCUUCUAUGGAGUGUUUCUUUAAAGGCUAAUAGUUGGAUCCACAUGUACCCUUUGUGUAAUUUAAAACCAGUUAUCAAUAAAGCUCCCACACAUCCUGAGCAGUAUUCAUUCAUAGCUCCUCAUACUGCAUUUUACCUCAAAUGCUACAAAAAGGUGAUGAAAAUCUCACGUUAAAGUUCCAAAGCCUAGAAAUAACACACACCCUGGCUGCCAUUAAAAAAAUACUUAUUAUAUUAAAAAGAUACUCCAACCAUCACAACCACUACAGUAUGCUGUAGUGGUCAUGAUGGUAGGAGUACCCUGGCAUCGUUCUCCAGUAAUGGAACAAGCUGUGCUACAAUGGUUUGCCUUCUUACCUGGUUCUGCCGUGUGCCAGGUCUCCAGUGUAGGGAGGUUUCCAAGAUUUGGCUUCUGGAGAGCUGCAGAAUGCACUUAUAGUUUUAACCUUUUUAUAAAUAAGCACAGCACACUUUAAGAAUGUAUUUUUAAAGGCACAGCACACCUUAUGCAUGCAUACACAGUUGACCUUAGCCAACCCAGAACUCUUGUACUGGGCUGGUCUGUGAUGCCCCAUGACGCAAGGGAUUAAACUUGUUAUAUGCAGAGAAAAGCGCUGCUCAUACCGACUCCAGACACCAUGAGCACUUCAAAAGUAACCCUUUAAUAAAGUGUCAACAUACUGCCGUGCUGUACCAGUGCUUUAACCAGUCUUCCUGUUGGAGGGAAAACCCAUAGAACUAGAGAACCGCUGUUCACUUAUACUGUCAGUUUAUCCGUUAAAUGUACUCAGUGCCGGAUUAAGAUUGCCCAAGGCAGUGUACAAGAUUGGGGCCCCCUCAUAAAAUCCCGGGCUCUGUUUCUGUCCAUUUUGUGUGUAUGUGUGUACCUUUCUCCCAGUUUAUGUGCACUGGUGUACAUGUAGCAGUCGCAGGGGUCACAGCUGUGACCGGGCCUGUCACUCCAGGGGCCGCCCUGCAGACAUCAUCAUUUGCGGCCCAGCCUGUGCAUCAAACCACCGGGGCCGCAAGUUAAGGUGCCCAUCGGGUGGCCCAUGCUGUCAGGGCCACCCGAUGGAUAUGGAUUUUCAGGGGGCCCAGUCAACGCUGCGGCGCUUUAACAGCGUAACCGGGCCCCCUGUGAUGAGAUCAUCACACGCUGGGAGAAAGUGACUCCCUGUCACUCCUCCCAGGUAUCAAUGAGAGCCCGCGCGGGAGGAAGCAGAGGGAUUCAGAGUGGGAACUCUGACUCCCAUCAACCUGAGCCACCACUGGACCCCAGGGAAAGUCACCCUCCUGCACCUAAAAGGUAGGAAACAGGAGGGUGACCUAAAUAUUAUGUGUGUGUUUUUGUAUGUAUGUGUCCGUGUCUAUCUGUCUGUGUCUGUCUGUAUGUAUGUCUGUCUGUUUGUAUGUAUGUCUUGUGUGUGUGCGUGUCUGUCUGUAUGUGUGCCUGUCUGUUUGAAUGUGUAUUUGUAUGUGUGUCGUGUGUGUGUGUGUGUAUGUGUGUGCCUGUCUGUAUGUGUCUGUCUGUAUGUAUGUGUGCCUGUCUGUUUGUAUGUGUGUCUUGUCUGUAUGUAUGUGUGCCUGUCUGUCUGUAUGUAUGUAUGUGUCUUUGUAUGUAUCUGUGCCUGUCUGAAUGUAUGUGUCUUUGUAAGUAUGUGUAGUGUGUGUAUGUAUGUGUCUGUAUGUGUCUGUCUGUGUGUGUCUGUCGGGCUGUGGGGAAGAAAGUGAGGGAGGGAGGAGGGGGGCCCCCCAUGGAUCAGUUUCACACUGGGGCCUCAUUGGCUGUGUGUACGCCACUGUUUAUGUGUAUACCUUUUUCCCAGCUUUGGAAGGUGAGCUGGAUCUCUGCUGGUCCAGUGGCAGAUCACUGUGGUCUGCACCACUAUCUGGUUUAGAACACUUUCAGAGCUCCCUUGUAGUUCUGGUUCUCAGUUAAGGAUGGCAGAAAGGGGACGGCAAGGGGGCUCUUAAAAUGGUCUGCACCUAAUAGAGGUGUAGACCACAACGCUCCCGCAACAAAUUGAGAUUGGUCAAGAAGGGAAAUCUUCUGAUCCCCCAGGCACAUCAAGGAGGCCCCCCUCACAGCCAGAAUUGUUGCACGAGGCCCAGUCAGGGGCUCAUCAAGCCUGCCUAAUGGGUAAUCUGACUCUGGAUAUACUAAUCUCACUUGUCUAAUAUAACCAGUUGGUUGGCAACUCAGCCUUUAAUUUGCUAUACUGCUAAAGUGGGACUUUAUAAUUAGUUGGUUGCUAUAUCUAUCUGAGUUCAGGUGUCAUUUUAAAACUCUGUCAGUCAUCACAUCAUAAUACCAGCUCCAAGCAUCAAGUGUUCUCAUUGCAGUAAAACAUGACUUGAAAGAUUAGCUCAAUAUAGUCAUCUCUAAUUAUCACACAUGAUAGCAUGUGUAAGUAAUAUGCCACCAAAAGUAGUAUUUUAAACGGGUGGAUUAAUGGAAAUGUCUCCAGGCAGUGUGUAAAAAAAGAAUAAUGACUGUUCAGGUGAAAACAGACAGCUAUGAUCCAUGUGUUGAGCUGUGUUUUUCCUCACUUACAUAUAGAAAAGAGGCAUGUUAACUAAAUGCCAUAUAUGCAGCAGCAAGUUAGUCAUAGUCAAAGUCAAAGUUAGUCCUUCAAUUCAACUGCAAUUUUUUUCGUGUUUACUAUUUGAGGACAAUUUUAGCAGAACCGAAUUAUCCCUUAUUUGAGACCAAACAAUUCCAAAUCUAUUUCCAAAAAUAAAAAAGCAAUAGACUCACUAGCUACAUAAACUGCAAGUGAGUACAGAUACAAAAUAAAAUAAAAAUGCAAAUAGUGAUCUAAGAUGAAACGAAGUACAAUAAUGUAUCGAAAGUUGAAAUUCCAUAGACUAUGAUGAAAGGAUCCUGACUGGCCAAGAUGUUUCCAGGAUUGGGCAGAAGAUCAUAAUUGAUCAUAUAAUGUGUGGAGAUUUGCAUGACUCCGUCUUACUUGAUUUAAAAAAAAAAAUUAUUCUAAAUUUAAAAAUGUGUUUAUUAACGAGCAUGGUGAAAUUGACGUGCUUAUAUAGAAAAAUGGGAUCUGGUCUCACAGCCAAAUGGAGCACAGUUGAUAGACUACUUCCACAGAGUUGCCUAGACUGUGCUCCCCAAAUACAUAGGUAAGCCGGGUAGAAAUAAAGGAAUACUUUAGUUCCAGGAAUACAAAGCUGUAUUCCUAGCACUACUAUAGCUCCCUUUGCCUCUCCCCACCCUACCACCCCCCACUGCAGUAAAGAAAGAGUUAAAAACCCUUCGUUUACAUACCUAAUCUCGGUCGCGGCUCCGCCUCCUCUGUUGUCCCUUGAUGAGUGGGCGCUAAUGAAUUGUUUCUUUACUAUGGGUUAAUAGCUGACGCAGGAUGUCCUCAUGCUACGUCCAGCGUCAGUAAUCAGACCAAAAGUGCGUUAGGAUCCAGGAAGCAUCUCCAGUGGCUGUCUGGUAGACAGCCACAGGAGCCAGACUUAGUGCUGCAGUGUAGUGACAGUGCACCCAUACCACCUCAAUGAGCUGAAGUGGUCUGGGUGCCUAUAGGUGUUAACAGUUUGGGACAGGCGUUGAAUAUAGACUUGAUCCAUACUUUUCACCACUCACCCAAGAGGUUGUUGAGAGAAUGAACCUGGAGUCUCAGGGUGAAUGCUUUUAAGACUGUGGGCAUGUGUACACUUUAACUACACAGUUAAAAAUGUAUAAUGAUUUCUGACAUUUCUGUAAGUUUCUAUUUUUUUUUGUUAGAAGUACAUUUUUUGUUUAAAAAUGUAUUUCCCCUCUUUUUUCAAUUUUUUCGAUUUUGUUAAAUGUACUAGGAGAUUCAUUUUAGUGCAUAUGUGAUUCUGCCCUGUAGCAUUUUUUAAAGUUUAAUUUAGAUCAUACACGAAAGUAAUUGUUUUAAUUCCAAAUGCAAAGUAAAUUUUAAAAACCGUUUUACAGCAUACAAUAAUAAUGAUCUCCCCUAAAUCCCAUUUCCUGAGCCAUCAAAUAUUGUAAAAUGUGUAUCUUUAAAUUUGUUUGCACAAGCACCUUACUAUUGAUCACUGUUUUUAGAUUGCUUUGUUUUACACAGAAAUAAGGGAAUAUGUGAUAGGGACAUGUUUUUAGCGUCAGUAAAAUAAAAAGUUGAUCCUGUCCCUUUAAGUAUAAUUGCCCGUCCCUAUGCUGUUUUCCUGUUUGAUAAUGUUUUAAAGACUUCGAUUAGAAAACUUUUUCCCUUUUCCAUGUUACCUUGUUAAUAUGUUAAUAUUUCCAUAGGUGCUAGGUUUCGCACAUUAAACUCUCUUAGACAGCAUCAGUUGCAUGGAAACUCCGUAUAGUGUUUAUUUUCUGUGUGAAUGUUUUUCUUGUUGUUUUGUUUUUUUUCACCAUCUGUUAGUUUCAUGGUUUUAUGUCAUAUCUGUAUCAUUUUCCAUUCUGUAUUGACUUUUCCAUUCCAUUAUCUCCAAUACGGUUCACUUAUUUUAAUUUACUAAGGUUCAUCCAGGAUGAUAAUUAAUCUAGUCUUUUAACUUUUUUUUUUUUUUUUUUUAAAUAUGUACAUGUUGAAUUGUUUUAUUUUAUUUAAUGUGCUUUUCCUUUCUGGUGGUUAGUUAAAAUGAUGAGGUGAGAGAAUUGAUAGAUGAAGUGUACUUUUUAUCGUGGAUUGCAUCAAUGAGUUGCCACUGUGCCUGGAAAAUGUGGUAAAUGCAAUACUUUUUAGGCAAGAUUUAUCAUGCAAUCACAUUAGUUAUCACUUUAGUUAAGGAACACUCAAAGCACCAAAAUCACUUCAUUUUAUCAAAUCAGGCCCCCAAACAGUCCCGAUUUCAGUGGAAUAGUCCCAGUUUUAGGGACCUGUCCUGCCAUCCCAAUUGUGUUUCUUGGUGACAGUAAACUAUCCCUUGAAUGCUCUUGCAAUGUAAAUUGGUACUAGGAGUAUUUCAGAAGCAUACUCUGCAAGGUCCUGUAGGAUGGGGGUGGCCAGACAGGCUUCUUCAGUGGGCUGGCUGCCCCUUAUUGGCGUCACUAGUGUUGCGAUUUGCAUAACUGUCGAUGCCCCUCUCAGGGCAUGUACCGUCCCAAUCUUAUACCUCACAAAGUUGGUAGGAAUGCAUAGACGCUUGCAUAGCUCCUCAUGCAACAUAUGAAAACACUGUUGUUUCUUUCAAAUGGCAAUGUUUAUAUGUUGCAGUUUCCACACCUUAUAGAGCAAUUACCUAGUCAGCCAUUAGGGGCUUCCAACACAAAUCAAUUCAAUUAUUGAAUCCAUUCGACAUCCAUUGCUAGCAUGCACAGUAUGCUUACAUUUUGUGCAUCUAAUGCUUCUCUCUGAGAAGGAUUUCUCAUAGAGAAUCAUUGGAUUGGCAGAUCACAACAAUUCCUGCACACGUGUUGUGCCUUUAGUGCAGUAAAGAAUCUGGUCAGGAUUGAUGACUUCAAUGAAGAAGUUUUAGGCUGUAUUGAGGAGACUGUCUGGCGCUGGAAUAGAGGUAACUUUUAUAGAGUAAUAGUUUAAAAUAAUGAAAUCAUCACACCUAAUUAAAAAAUUAUAUGUUGCGUAUGCGUUUAACUUUGUCCAGUUACUCCCAUUCCAUAGGGACAUUUAAAUAACCGACAUCCUACUUCCUAGUGGCCUACCACUCUAAUAAACAUCGCAACAUGUAGCUGAUAAUUAUCAAUUUGGUGGUGUAUCUUGAUACCCUCUUAAAGAGCUCAUGGAAUGUCUGUAUGUGAGACCCAUGAUGCCACGAGAGCUGUCUUCUAUACAUUUCCUAUUCUUGUGGUCUCUUCCAGUUCGACUCUUAGUUGCAUUUACCAUUGUGUUACUUACUUUCCUCCUUCAGUUACCCAGCUAGCAUUGCCAAGUAGACCAUUGCAGGGUAUGUCCAAAUAUACAUUCUGUGUAGUUUGUGUUACUCUCCUUUCAUGUGUUGUCCAAAUAUCCAGCUAUGAUUGACUUAAUUUAGUUCUUCCUUACCUGCAAGUGUGCACCUCCAGCUCACUGUCAACCAUUUUUAUAGGAUCAGUCCAGUGGCGUACAUACCGGGGUCGCGGCUGCGACCGGGCCCGGCCCACCAGGGGGCCCGGCCGCCCCUGCGACCCGGUAUGUACCUACUGGGCCAGCCUCUUCUCCUGGGGGGCCCAGGAGGCAGCCACCUCAGGGCCCCCCCGAGGCUGGCCCUGCUGACCCCGGCGGGCGGCAUGCGAGGGAGCACUCUCCCCUGAGUGCUUCCUCUUCAGCUCCCUCGCGCACCGCACUGAUGCCGGAGCCGGAAGAUGAUGCCAUCUUCCGGCGCCGGCAUCCCUAUGCGGCGCACGAGGGAGCUGAAGAGGAAGCACUCAGGGGAGAGUGCUCCCUCGCGCGCCGGCCACCCAGACUGCCCGCCUGCCCAGCAGCACCACUGGACCCCAGGGAAUCCCCCCAGCACUCCAAAAGGUAAGGAGGCUGGGGGGAUUAAAUUUAAAAAAAAAUGUGUGUGUGUGUUAGAGUGUGUGUGUGUUAGAGUGUGUGUGUGUGUGUGUUAGUGAGUGUUAGUGUUUGUUUGUGUGUUUGUUUGUGUUAGUGUGUGUCAGUGAGUGUGUCUGUUAUUGGGUGUGUGUCUGCUAGUGAGUGUGUUACUGUGUGUGUCUGUUACUGAGUGUGUUUGAUGUCUGUUAGUGAGUGUGUGUUUGUCAGUGAAAGUGUAUGUUUUGUAAGUGAGUGUGUAUGUAUGUCUGUCGCUGAGUGUGUCUCUGUCAGUAAAUGUGUGUGUCUGUUAGCUAGUGUGUAUGCGUCUGUUCGUGAGAGUGUGUAUCUUCAGCAUUUACCUUUCUCCAGCGUCGGACUCCCUUGGCGCUGGGGAUCCCUCUGCCUCUCAGCUCCGAAUGCACAUGCGUGGCAAGAGGCGCACGCGCAUUUAAACCGCCCAUAGGAAAGCAUUACUCAAUGCUUUCCUAUGGACGUUCAGUGUCUUCUCACUGUGAUUUUCACAGUGAGAAUCGCGGAAGCUCCUCUAACAGCUGUCAAUGAGACAGCCACCAGAGGCUGGAUUAACCCUCAGUGAAACAUAGCCGUUUCUCUGAAACUGCUAUGUUUUCAGCUGCAGGGUUAAAACUAGAGGGACCUGGCACCCAGAUCACUUCAUUGAGCUGAUGUGAUCUGGGUGUCUGUAGUGGUCCUUUAAGUGUGUGUGCAUACCGCGGUCGACUCAAGCAAAAAUGGCCUAGGAUGUUGGCAUUUGCAUCCAGAGCACUCUCUUCAGCUGAGCAAAAUUAUGCUGAAAUUGAAAAGGAAUGUUUAAGCAUUGUUUUUGCCUGUCAGCGUUUCCAUCAUUAUCUCUAUGGCCGAGAUGCAAUCAUUGCUGAAACUGAUCACAAACCGUUAAAAGCCAUAUUCAAGAAGCCGCUUUUAUGUGCUCCAAAGCGUUUGCAGAGCAUGAUGCUUACAUUGCAGAGUUACAAUUUCAAUGUUGUGUACAAGCCAGGAUUUGAAAUGUACACCCUAAGCAGAGCUUCAAUGGAACACGUGGCACCUGGAGGUGAACAUGAGCAUCUUGCAGUUUGUUUGUUGCAGCAGGAACAGAAUUUAUUUGCCGAAGUCAAUCAAGCUGACUAUCUUAAUGUCACAGAUCAGUGACUACAUCAGCUCAUACAGCACACAGAAAGUGAUGCAACUUUGCAAGCACUGAAGUCUAUAGUUCUGAUGGGGUGGCCAAAUGAAAAGGAUGCAGCACCUGCAAUUGUGAAGGAAUAUUGGUCCUUCAGAGAUGAGAUCAGCAUACAAAAUGGUAUCUUGUACAAAGGUCCAAGGGUCAUAGUGCCAAAGUCACUAAGAGCAGAGAUGUUUUCGCACAUACACUCAAGCCACAUUGGAGGUGAGGCUUGCUACAGACAAGCUUGUGAUACUCUUUACUGGCCCAACAUGCAAGGUGAAAUCAAAGACUUUGUCAGCAAUUGUCCCACUUGCAAUGAAUAUGCACACUCGCAACAAAAAGAAACCUUGAUGUCACAUGAGAUACCUACACGUCCUUAGCAGAUUGUAAGCAUGGACUUAUUCAACCAUGCUGGAAAAGAGUACCUGCUCUUAGUAGAUCAUUACUCAGACUUCUGGGAAAUUGAACUGCUUCCUGACAUGUCCACUGAAACUACAAUUAAUCGAUGCAAGGAGCAAUUUGCACGUCAUGGCCAACCAACUAAAGUGAUUUCAGACAAUGGUCCUCAGUUUGCAAGCUUACAGUUCAGGAAAUUUGCUACUGAAUGGGCUUUUGAGAAUGUGAUUUCUUCACCACGUCAUCCACAAGCUAAUGGCAAAGCUGAAUCUGCUGUGAAAAUAGUGAAGAAUUUAUGCAAAAAAGCUAAAAGUGAUGGUAAAGACCCAUGGGAAGCCAUCUUACAGUGGAGAAACACUCCAACAGAGGGUAUGGAUAGUAGUCUGGCACAGAGACUGAUGUCAAGGAGAUUAAAGAGCUACUUACCAGUAGCCAACAAGCUACUUGAACCCUCUGUAAUACAAGGUGUACCAGAAAAGUUACGACUUAAGAGGCAAGUGUUUUAAGGCUAGAUAUGACUAAUCUGCUAGGGAUUUACCUGAACUGAAUAUUGGGGAACAAAUCCGUAUGAAACAGCUUCCUGGAGAUUGAACAGGUCGCUGGAGAAUGGGAACCUGUCUGCAAAAGGUUGCACCACGCUCUUAUAUUCUGGAUAUCGAAGGAACUCUCGACCGACGCAAUCGUGUGGAUCUCUGAGUGGCUGAGAAGCCCAAUUCUCAAUAUCCAGUUGUCAAGCCAGACACACCUGGUAUUCCAAGGUAGACAUGUGCAAUUCGUUUUGGGCCGAAUAUGUAUUCAGACGAAUUUCGGGCAAUUCGGACAUUCGGGUACCGAAUUACAAAGGUCCCAAAGUUCCGAAAUUACCGAAGUUCCGAAGCACAGUUUUGCCUAAGUACUAAUAUACUUACCCAGUGGAAGAAGAAGAAUGUUACACUGUAUACAAUUGUAAAUAAAAAGUAUACAAACGUAGCCAGGAUUCAGCUGUAAGCAUUUGCAACACUUACAACAAUCAAGUAACAUACAUUCAUAUAAAAUGUAAGUUACUUAGCCAAUCAAUGUAAUGACAGGAAUGAAUAAGUAGAUAACUCCCUAAUUCCCACGGUAUUAGGGAGCAAUCUACUAAAAGGCUGAAAGACCUAAAUUGGUCUUUCAGCCAAAUUUACUAAUACUAAGUAAAGAUUACUUAGUAUUAGUAAAUGAUGCCCCUACUCGCUAUACCGCGAGUAGGAGCAUGUCUAUUAAAGGUCGGGAGGGGGGAACCCUUUUUUUUUUUUUAAACAGUGAACAGCCACUGGCAGAAUUGGUAAGUUGUAUUUGCUUAAUGCUGUUCUCCAAGUAAGCUACCAUCAGUUUUCUGCUCUUGGUGCUUCAUCCACCACGAGUGCAUGUCAGUGGUGUACUCUUGGAUAUGUGUGAGUGUACAACACCAAUGUCAUUGGAGCAUUCUGAUAGAUCAUGGAAGAUAUUGUCUCAUGAUGACUUUGCCUUUUGAUAAGUUUUGUCAACUUGAGGUCUUGACGUAACACAAAAAAGGUCACUACUUUGUCUUAUAUCUUUUGACUGUGUAAUGUAUUUUACAAUAUAUUUUUUAACUUGUGUUUUGUAGCCAAAAUGUGAUUUAUACAAAUUGCCUGGAUGUCCAAGAGACUUACACCCUGUUUGUGGGACAAAUGGAGUCACAUAUUCAAAUGAAUGCAUGCUGUGUUACUUUAACAGGUAAGGCUAAUUGAUAAACUCUUAUGGAGCAUGUUUCCACUUUGACAUCAUCACAGGCAGGUCCCAGAAGCUCUCCUGCCACCAUAUUUAGAAGCUCACAUCCCUGCAGCAGUUAAAUAUAUUGGAUGUUAAAUUUGCACAAGCCAUUAUGCAAUAGGCACUUAGAUGCCUAUUGCUUCUGCAUAUCGUACCUGCUCCCAUUUGGCCACCUGGAAAACACCUUCUGUGCUGCUGCUUCCAAUGACCUAAUGACACAACAGCAGGUUUUCUCCCAACUGAUGCCACUGGAAAUGGCACCCACAUGCCCACUUGAGCACCACAUUUAGCAGAAAAAUUAAGAUGAUUUUGUGCUGCUCUGAUGUUUUAGGUGUGGUAAAAUGAUCAAUUACCAAAUUAAUAUAUAUAUUACACAAGGUUUGUCUACAUCAAAAGGUAUUUAUUAGAAGGCAACAACACAAUACUAUAAAUUUAUCACAAACACACAGCCCAGACCCACGGAGCAACAACCCUUUUUAAAUCUAUCUAUAUAGUAAUCCCCUUCCCCACACGUUUGAUCUCACCCACGGUUAGGCCUUCACAUCUAGUAACGGCUCACUGCUGCAAGUUCAACAUCACAACCACCAAGGAAGAAAAGGAAGCAACGGAGUGUAACAUGGUUCACCAUGAUAGCACAUGGUGUCUGCAUAUCUGCUCUGUAGCACAGCUAAGAAGGAACAGAGAGGAAUGGAGAUAGGGGGAAGUGGUUAUCUCUUUCCUGACUUGUAAAGGUAUUGAAUUACCCAAUUACCAUAUCAAAGGGUAAUGCUUAUCCCACUGUAAGAAAAGCAUACAUGAGCUUGGUCACAUGACCCCUGGUCACCAUAUUACAUUGGUGACAGAAUGUCACCACAUUAGGGUCUUCAGCAUAAUAUACCCCUUACACACAUGCAGGCACUUCAUAUGUAAUCCAUGUAUGACUGCACUUCAUGUAUAAUGAAUGUGUGUGUGUGUGUGUUGCACACAUUGCAUAAAAUGUAGAGUCAUUGACAUACACAGACACGCUGAUGAUAAUCUACUGUAUUUUUUUUAUAAUAAUAAAUGUAUUUAAUGUGGUGCUCAUUUUACUUUAAAUUGUAUAUUAACCCCUUAGUGACCAGACCAUUUUCCCAUUUUCUUACUGUUAAGGACCAGGGCUCUUUUUACAUUUCUGCAAUGUUUGUGUUUAGCUGUAAUUUUCCUCUUACUCAUUUACUGUACUCACACAUAUUAUAUACAGUUUUUCUCGCCAUUAGUCUUUCUAAAGAUUUUCAUCAUCUCAUAUAAUUUACCAAAAACAAAAAUGAUAAAAUAUGAUGAAAAAAAUCUAAAAAAAAAACACACUUUUUCUAACUUUGACCCCCAAAUCUGUUACACAUCUACAACCACCAAAAAAACACCCAUGCUAAAUAGUUUCAAAAUUUUGUCCUAAAUUUAGAAAUGCCCAAUGUAACAUGUUCUCAGCUUUUUUUGGGAAAGUUAUAGGGCUAUAAGUACAAGUAGCACUUUGCUAUUUCCAAACCAUUUGUUUUCAAAAUUAACGUUACAUUGUAACACUGAUAUCUGUCAGGAAUCCUAGAAUAAAACUUCACAUGUAUAUAUUUUUUUAAAAGAAGUCAACCUGAGAUAUUAAACCGGGGGUAUAUUGAUUCUUUUCAUUCAACCAUUUUACCGCCAAUCUAUGCAAAAUUAAAAAAAAAAAUAUUUGUGAUUUUUUUGACACACAUAGCAAUUUAAGAAUACAUGUACGAAUAACUUUAAAGUUUACUGCCAAAGAACACCCCAACAUGUGUUCAGCAACAUCUCCUGAGUACAGUGAUACCCACAUGUAUAGGUGUUUCGGGUUCUUUGGGGGCUACAAGACCUUAUUUGGAGGGUGCGCAUUCCAGUUUUCCAACUUGGAAUUUUCUCAACUGGUCAUCAUGCACCCAUGUCCUAUUUGGGACAUUUUUGAAGCCGGCCAAUGCAAUUUACCCCCAUCAAACCAUAUAUUUUUGAAAAGUAAACACCCUAGGGUAUUUCAAAUGGUGGUAUUUUAACACUUUCAAUGCACUAAUUCUACCACCAGUCUUUGUCAAACUUUCGGUUAGUCAUUUUUUUGUGUUAUUUUUCUCUCAUGUAAUUUAGGCAUGGAUUCUCAGUUCCUGUUAUGUUACUGACCCCAAUAUGUGUUCAGCAACCUCUCCCAAGUACAACAGUGCCCCCAAUGUACAGGUUUUAUGGGUUUUUACAAAUUUACAGGGGUAAAUGUAGGGCUUUCCCCUUUUCCAUGUUUGCACAUUGAAAUUUGCCAAAUUGGUUUGCUGGGCCUAUGUUGCCCUGUGAGACCAUAUAGCAGUCCAGGAAUGAAAAUUAACCCCAUCAUGACAUACCAUUUGUAAAAGUAGACAACCCACGGUAUUCAAAAUGGGGUAUGUCCAGUCUUUUGUAGUAGCCACAUACGCUUACCAAAGUUAGCGUUCAUAUUUGUUUUUUGCAUUUUUUUACACAAAAACUGCAGUUUUACUGGUGAUUUAAUCGUCGUGAUAGGUUUUACUGUUUUAAACACUCAUGUUAGUGUUCAGCGAAGUCUAUAUAUAUGCACACACACACACACACACAUAAUACGUGUGUAUGUAUGUGCAGCGCUACGGAAUCUGAUUGCGCUAUAUAAAUAAUAAUAAUAUAUAUAUAUAUAUAUAUACACACAUACACAUAUAUACGUGUGUAUAUAAUAUGUGUGUGUGUGUAUAUAUAUAUAUAUAUAUAUAAUAUAUAUAUAUACACACACACACACACACUUAUUUCUUAUAUGUAUAAUAUAUUAUAAUUAAACAUUUUAUAAUAUAUUAUACAUAUAUAUGAUUUAAUCAUAAGUGUAUUUUGAGAUAUAUAUGUAUGUAAUAUAUUUAUUUAUUUUUUUUACUUUUAUGCAGCCUGGGGGACUGUCUGACAGCUCAGACAGUCCCCCUGCUGGCAGCUCCUAGACUCCUAUUGCAGCAAUGUGAUCAUGGUGACCCCUCGAGGCACUCAUUACAGGCAGAGCUUUGGAAGCCUGCCUGAUGGCUUCCAAUGCUCUGCCUCACUGCCGGGUGCCACGUGUUCUCCGGGGGCCACCGGCAGUGAGGGGGAUAUCGCAGCGAUGCCUCAACAUCAAGGCAUUGCUGCAAUACCAUCAGAGCUUCCAGCACUCUAAUUCCCCGCGGACGUAUCAGGUACAUCCGCUGUCCGUAAGGACCAUUUUGUGUCGGACGUACCUGAUAUGUUCUUGGUCGGGAAGGGGUUAAAGAUUUAGUUGCAUGUGUCACAAUUCAGAUCAGUCCAGGCACACGUUGCUUUGCUUGAUUGGGGUAGAAAUCAGAAUAUUGCUUUUUCUCCACCACACAUAUAGUAUGUUUAAAGAGACAUUACAGGCCCCCAGACCACUUCAUCUGUCCCACUUAGUCCUGCAAUAUAAAGAGAAACCGCAAUGAUUACAUUGCAGCAAUAACACUGCCUCUAGUGGCUGUCAAUCAAACAUCCAUUAGAUGCUGUUCCUGGUGGCUAACCGACCAGACUCCUGAAGCACUAUGUGAAGAUGGUGCCCUGUUUUUUUAUUUUUAAAAAGAGGGGACCAGAGGGCACUAUACUGUUAGGAAUACAGAUUUAUAUUCCUAACUCUAUAGAACCCCUUUAAUGACAAAGAUGAUAUAAAUACUGUCCUUGAAUUUCUGUCAUUAAACCAAAAUAUCUCCAGGAGAUAUAUGUGAAUUUCCACAUUUAAUUUUAGUUUUCAGACCUCACUAACACAUAUUUGUUAAAUAUAUAAGUAUGCCUGUUAUUCAAAAUGCUGGAAGAUGACAGUUGAGGAGCUAAGUACCUGUCAAUUUCUACAACUCUUUACAGCCUGUGCUCAGAUUUUCUUAUUCCGUGACACAGAAGAGAAUUGUCCUCUUUAUUUUUUAUUUUUUUUUGUGGCACUUUACAUAAAGAAGUCGUUCCCCAGAAUCUGAUGAAAUUUGUUAUUCCCUGCUAUAGUUGCUAUGGAUGGCAGUACAAUAAGGAAUGGCUGAGAUUACUGAGAGCGAUAGUCCACAGCAACUGUGAAAGCAGCAGUUGACGGCUUGUUCAGGAAUAGCUGCUGUAUAAUACAAUGCGAUCAAGCUCAGACAAACACAGGCUGAGUUGCCUAAUCCACUGUGGUAUGCGCUCGGUUUCCAACAUGCUUACCCAGCCUUGGCCUGUAAGGCACAGUGUGGCAUAUGGGCUCUGCACGCUUUGAAGGGUGUGCCAGAGCAGUAAACUAUACCAGUCUGCCAAGGUUAAGGGAUUGGCUUGCAUCUCCCUUUACUUUCAUGAACGAGUGAUCAGGUAUUAACCUCUAUUAAUAAUGGAUUGCAAAGGAGCACUGCCUGCCUGUAUCUGUCAAUGUAUACUCGUUAACAAACAGUACAGCAUAUCAAGCAUUGCAUGUCACAUCACUGAUUUUAUAUACAGACAGAGUGUAACUUUAAAUACAAACUUUACUUAGAUAAAUAUAAUAGAUAAUACCAUUAUGUAGGGUUUUCCACUAAACUGGGAAAUAUGGAAAAACCGACAAAGAAUUAGAAAUUCUAGGCUAUGACUGAAUUGGAAAAAUUAUCCAACUUGGAUAUAUUUACCAAAUAUAGUAAAAUAUCAAAAAAAUUUGCAUAUUUUCCAUAAUGAAUUAAAGCUGGGCUGGGCAAACGGUAGAUCCCCAGAUGUGGAAGAACUCCAACGACCAUGAUACAUCAUGUUAGUUGCCGCUCUACAAUAUCUGGAUAUCUACCAUUUGCCCAGCCCUAAAUGAAAGGAACACUCCAAGCACCAUAACCAGUAUUGCUUACUGCGGUGGUUAAGGUGCCAGGAUUGUCCAUUUAGAACAGUAACAAUUUACCUGAGCUUUCUGAGUGCUUGCUCUGCAUUUGAUCUUCUUCUGUAGCAGAAACAAGAAGGCUAUCCAGCUAGGCACGGCCAAUGCAGGAUCGCGCUCACUGGCUGAGAGAGCUCAUUUGACGCUUUCAGCCAAUGAGCAUGGGUCUGCACGGCCUUGCUUUGUUCAGUAGAGCGAACAGGAUUCUCCUGCAGGUGAAGACCAGAUGCAGUGCAGAUAUCCCGGCAAUACAGGUAAGCUGUAAAACUGUUCAAAAAUGAUUUGACAAAUUACAAUGACAGUGCUCUCCUUGCACAAACCACUACAGUGCAAACGUUUUACAGAAGUAUUUUUUUUCUCUUACAGAAUCCGUGGUGAGGACGUUAAAAUAAAGCGGAUGAGAGAAUGCUAAUUGAAUCACGCAAAUCAUGGAGAACUCCAAGUUGUCCCUUUAAGCCCACGAUCUUUACAUAUACAUUAUUGGUGUAAACUAACCACAAGAGUUAACCUAAAGUGUCAUGGUGAAUAAUAAAUUAAUAAAUGAGGAAAUAUCUUUGCACUGU